AGAGUUUGAUCCUGGCUCAGGAUGAACGCUAGCGGCAGGCUUAACACAUGCAAGUCGAGGGGUAACGGGGAAGCUUGCUUCCGCCGACGACCGGCGCACGGGUGCGUAACGCGUAUACAAUCUACCUUAUACUGGGGUAUAGCCUUUAGAAAUGAAGAUUAACCCCCCAUAGUCUCUUAGAGUGGCAUCACUUCUAGAGUAAAGGUUACGGUAUAAGAUGAGUAUGCGUUCUAUUAGUUUGUUGGUGUGGUAACGGCACACCAAGACUACGAUAGAUAGGGGCCCUGAGAGGGGGAUCCCCCACACUGGUACUGAGACACGGACCAGACUCCUACGGGAGGCAGCAGUGAGGAAUAUUGGACAAUGGAGGCAACUCUGAUCCAGCCAUGCCGCGUGCAGGAAGACUGCCCUAUGGGUUGUAAACUGCUUUUAUACAGGAAGAAACACCUCUACGUGUAGAGGCUUGACGGUACUGUAAGAAUAAGGAUCGGCUAACUCCGUGCCAGCAGCCGCGGUAAUACGGAGGAUCCAAGCGUUAUCCGGAAUCAUUGGGUUUAAAGGGUCCGUAGGUGGAUAAUUAAGUCAGAGGUGAAAUCUUGCAGCUCAACUGUAAAAUUGCCUUUGAAACUGGUUAUCUUGAGUUAUUAUGAAGUAGUUAGAAUAUGUAGUGUAGCGGUGAAAUGCAUAGAUAUUACAUAGAAUACCAAUUGCGAAGGCAGAUUACUAAUAAUCAACUGACACUGAUGGACGAAAGCGUGGGUAGCGAACAGGAUUAGAUACCCUGGUAGUCCACGCCGUAAACGAUGGUUACUAGCUGUUUGGACUUCGGUCUGAGUGGCUAAGCGAAAGUGAUAAGUAACCCACCUGGGGAGUACGUUCGCAAGAAUGAAACUCAAAGGAAUUGACGGGGGCCCGCACAAGCGGUGGAGCAUGUGGUUUAAUUCGAUGAUACGCGAGGAACCUUACCAGGGCUUAAAUGUAAGUUGCAUUAGUUAGAGAUAGCUAUUUCUUCGGACCACUUACAAGGUGCUGCAUGGUUGUCGUCAGCUCGUGCCGUGAGGUGUCAGGUUAAGUCCUAUAACGAGCGCAACCCCUGUUGUUAGUUGCCAGCGAGUCAUGUCGGGAACUCUAGCAAGACUGCCAGUGCAAACUGUGAGGAAGGUGGGGAUGACGUCAAAUCAUCACGGCCCUUACGUCCUGGGCUACACACGUGCUACAAUGGUAGGUACAGAGAGCAGCCACUGCGCGAGCAGGAGCGAAUCUACAAAACCUAUCACAGUUCGGAUCGGAGUCUGCAACUCGACUCCGUGAAGCUGGAAUCGCUAGUAAUCGGAUAUCAGCCAUGAUCCGGUGAAUACGUUCCCGGGCCUUGUACACACCGCCCGUCAAGCCAUGGAAGUUGGAAGUGCCUGAAGUCCGUCACCGCAAGGAGCGGCCUAGGGUAAAGUCGAUAACUAGGGCUAAGUCGUAACAAGGUAAAUCACUAGU
This 1488-nucleotide ribosomal RNA is filed under the name uncultured Flavobacteriia bacterium. RNAcentral's name for it is "bacterial SSU rRNA". It matches the Rfam family "Bacterial small subunit ribosomal RNA". The record is from RNAcentral. Lineage: Bacteria; Pseudomonadati; Bacteroidota; Flavobacteriia.